UCACAUGAGGAAAACGAAUGAAUUCUUGCGAACCGACCCGGGUAGUUUCACAAAAUAGAACUGGAACUAACAAACAUCUCAGCGUGGAUGAACCAAGAAGCUAAACAAAGUUUCACCUAGAUAUCAAUAUGCUUCGCGGAAAAAUGACGCCAAAUAAACUCCAGAGCAAAUCUAACAUUUUUCACUAGACUAUAUGUUAUUGAAGUCCGUCAAACCUAGAUCACGCAAAAAUUCAUCCAUAUCGUGUGCAUGUACACAUGCCACAUUGUUAGGGGAAUUUCUCACGAACUAUAGUAUUGUCGAGAAAGGUAGAGAGAGAGAGAGAGAGAGAGAGAAGAGAGAGAGCUGGAGAUUGAGAGGGACUGAGAUUUUUUCUGGGAAUGGAGGAGAGAGAGUCUAGAGAGAGAAAGAGAGAUAUGGUGGACGGAACUGCAGCUGAAGACAAAGAGGGGGGCCAAAGAGAUG
Rhodamnia argentea is the source of this 465-nucleotide long non-coding RNA. RefSeq lists it as uncharacterized. The transcript has 2 exons. NCBI's taxonomy places the organism in Eukaryota, Viridiplantae, Streptophyta, Magnoliopsida, Myrtales, Myrtaceae. The record is from RefSeq and is a predicted model, not a curated record.